AAAUUGAAGAGUUUGAUCAUGGCUCAGAUUGAACGCUGGCGGCAGGCCUAACACAUGCAAGUCGAACGGUAGCACAGAGAGCUUGCUCUCGGGUGACGAGUGGCGGACGGGUGAGUAAUGUCUGGGAAACUGCCCGAUGGAGGGGGAUAACUACUGGAAACGGUAGCUAAUACCGCAUAACGUCGCAAGACCAAAGUGGGGGACCUUCGGGCCUCACACCAUCGGAUGUGCCCAGAUGGGAUUAGCUAGUAGGUGGGGUAACGGCUCACCUAGGCGACGAUCCCUAGCUGGUCUGAGAGGAUGACCAGCCACACUGGAACUGAGACACGGUCCAGACUCCUACGGGAGGCAGCAGUGGGGAAUAUUGCACAAUGGGCGCAAGCCUGAUGCAGCCAUGCCGCGUGUAUGAAGAAGGCCUUCGGGUUGUAAAGUACUUU
This 437-nucleotide ribosomal RNA is filed under the name Salmonella enterica subsp. enterica serovar Kentucky. RNAcentral's name for it is "bacterial SSU rRNA". It matches the Rfam family "Bacterial small subunit ribosomal RNA", at positions 1 to 436 of the family's 1533-position model. Lineage: Bacteria; Pseudomonadati; Pseudomonadota; Gammaproteobacteria; Enterobacterales; Enterobacteriaceae. The record is from RNAcentral.